UACGUAGGGUGCAAGCGUUGUCCGGAAUUAUUGGGCGUAAAGAGCUCGUAGGCGGUCUGUCGCGUCUGCUGUGAAAACUCGGGGCUUAACCCCGGGCCUGCAGUGGGUACGGGCAGACUAGAGUGCGGUAGGGGAGACUGGAAUUCCUGGUGUAGCGGUGAAAUGCGCAGAUAUCAGGAGGAACACCAGUGGCGAAGGCGGGCAUCUGGGCCAACACUGACGCUGAGGUGCGAGAGCGUGGGGAGCGAACCGG
This 253-nucleotide ribosomal RNA is filed under the name uncultured bacterium. RNAcentral describes it as "partial 16S ribosomal RNA". It matches the Rfam family "Bacterial small subunit ribosomal RNA", at positions 524 to 776 of the family's 1533-position model. The record is from RNAcentral.